Molecule: long non-coding RNA, 1135 nt
Filed under: Calidris pygmaea (Spoon-billed sandpiper)
Lineage: Eukaryota; Metazoa; Chordata; Aves; Charadriiformes; Scolopacidae
Description: lncRNA (ENSCPGG00000001898.1)
Source: RNAcentral
GGGCUCUGAGCCCGGCUUUAGCCCCUGACGCAGGAGGUUUUAUUUCCCUCCAUACAUAUUUUUAGCCCUGCCUGCUCCGUCCUGGCCUUUCCGAGGGGGAUUAAUUCCCUCCCCCCCACAUGCCAACAUACACCAUUAAAGGUGUGGGGGUGCAGAGAGAGGUCCCCAGCUCCUUCCCGGGGAUGCCUGCCAGGGGGGCGGGGGCGAUGGCACCGGGGGUGUCUCCGCACCCCGUGAUGGGGAGUGCCACCACGGGCUGGCGGUGCUCACCCCAUCGCAAAUCCAAUCCCCGGCGGGUUGGAGCAAGUCACCAGUUAAAAAUAGCCCCGGCCUUUCGCCGAGGAGCCGGCGACCUUGCGGGAGGAUCGGCCGCCCCCGGGGGCUCUGGCGGUGAAGAGUUCACGGCCCCCCCCGCAGCCCCGGCGCCCUCGCUGCGCCUCGGACGUGGCCAGGGCUCAGCCUCCGCCCCGGCUCCCCGGGGGCUGGGGACACCCUUCCAGGACCCUCCACCUAGGGAUGGGGAAACUGAGGCACGGGGCAACAACAGGCUCUCCCGGAGAGCAAAGGGGGGACGAGCGUGUCCCCAAAGUGUCAGCAGUGCCCCGAGCGCUGAAGGACGGGACUGCUUUAACGGCAGCGGGGAGAGGGGGGGUGGUUCAUCCGCUUUCGGCAGCUCGGCAGAGCCUUCCUGGGGAGAUUCAAAGGCUGAGCCCGGCCGGGUCCUAUUUCGGGAGGAUUUUGGAUGCCUCCCAAGUGGCAGGAGUGGGGGCUGGCCCGGACAAAGGGACUCUGUUCGGGACGCUGGGCUCUGGCGGUGCCCGGCGCGGAGGCUGGUGGCUGUGGCUGGUGCCCUUGUCCCCUGCGUGACGAGUCAGUGCCCAGGGCUGGGGCACGGGGCGAACACCCCUCUCCCGCGCCGGGUGCUGCACCCACCUGGAGGUAAACUGAGGCACGGGGUGGGACUGUCCUCGCCUCCCGAACCAUCACUGUAACCGCUAAGUGACACUGCCGUACCGCGGAGACAGCCGUGCCAACCUGCCUCGUGACGUGGAGUCCACCAGCCACCCUCCCUGGGCCACCUGCCCAGGCUGGCCCCCAGCCAUGCCCCGGGGGAGUCCAAGGUCCCUGAGUGGGG